CAUAGCGAGUCACUGGGCAGGGGCUGGGCUUUGAAAUGUGGAUUUUUUCCCCCAUUUUCCUAGAGGAUGUUGAUGCAGUUGGAGACCACUUGAGAAGCACUUCUCUGAGGAGGGAUGCUCUCCCAUCAAAUGACAGGAGUGCAAUGAUGUGUCCACCAAAUGCAACCUUCUGGUAACUUCCAGUAUGCAAACAACACAACAGAAUGCAGGACGACGAUGUGCUCUGGCAAACGUCCAC
Molecule: long non-coding RNA, 238 nt
Organism: Canis lupus familiaris (dog)
Lineage: Eukaryota; Metazoa; Chordata; Mammalia; Carnivora; Canidae
Exons: 3
Source: RefSeq, a predicted model, not a curated record